RNAcentral lists this ribosomal RNA (247 nucleotides) under uncultured bacterium. RNAcentral's name for it is "partial 16S ribosomal RNA". It matches the Rfam family "Bacterial small subunit ribosomal RNA", at positions 523 to 769 of the family's 1533-position model. The record is from RNAcentral.
AUACGUAGGGGGCAAGCGUUGUCCGGAUUUACUGGGUGUAAAGGGCGCGCAGGCGGGAUAAAUAGUCAGUGGUGAAAUCCUACAGCUUAACUGUAGAACUGCCUUUGAUACUUUUAUUCUUGAGUUCGGGAGAGAGAGACGGAAUUCCAGGUGUGGUGGUGAAAUACGUAGAUAUCUGGAAGAACACCAGUUGCGAAGGCGGUCUCUUGGUCCGAUACUGACGCUCAUGCACGAAAGCGUGGGGAGC